RNAcentral lists this ribosomal RNA (446 nucleotides) under uncultured bacterium. RNAcentral describes it as "partial 16S ribosomal RNA". It matches the Rfam family "Bacterial small subunit ribosomal RNA", at positions 330 to 792 of the family's 1533-position model. The record is from RNAcentral.
GCCAGACUCCUACGGGAGGCAGCAGUGGGGGAUAUUGCACAAUGGGGGGAACCCUGAUGCAGCGACGCCGCGUGGGUGAAGGAGUAUUUCGGUAUGUAAAGCCCUAUCGGCAGGGAAGAAGCAAGACGGUACCUGACUAAGAAGCCCCGGCUAACUACGUGCCAGCAGCCGCGGUAAUACGUAGGGGGCAAGCGUUAUCCGGAUUCACUGGGUGUAAAGGGAGCGUAGACGGCGACGCAAGUCUGGAGCGAAGGCCCGGGGCCCAACCCCGGGACUGCUCUGGAAACUGAGCAGCUAGAGUGCAGGAGAGGUAAGUGGAAUUCCUAGUGUAGCGGUGAAAUGCGUAGAUAUUAGGAGGAACACCAGUGGCGAAGGCGGCUUACUGGACUGUAACUGACGUUGAGGCUCGAAAGCGUGGGGAGCAAACAGGAUUAGAUACCCGAGUA